This 207-nucleotide ribosomal RNA is filed under the name uncultured bacterium. Its description in RNAcentral is "partial 16S ribosomal RNA". It matches the Rfam family "Bacterial small subunit ribosomal RNA", at positions 568 to 774 of the family's 1533-position model. The record is from RNAcentral.
UGCGUAGGCGGCCUGGCAGGUUGGGUGUGAAAGCCCUCGGCUCAACCGAGGAAUUGCGCUCAAAACCGUCAGGCUUGAGGGAGAUAGAGGUGAGCGGAACUGAUGGUGGAGCGGUGAAAUGCGUUGAUAUCAUCAGGAACACCGGUGGCGAAAGCGGCUCACUGGGUCUCUACUGACGCUGAGGCACGAAAGCUAGGGGAGCGAACG